Molecule: non-coding RNA, 139 nt
Organism: Microcebus murinus (gray mouse lemur)
Lineage: Eukaryota; Metazoa; Chordata; Mammalia; Primates; Cheirogaleidae
Source: RefSeq, a predicted model, not a curated record
CAGCACCGUCUUCACCGUCCCACCUGUUGGAGCUCUGACCGACGACUCCCAACGGCUAAGACUCAGGGAGGAGAUGUAACCUGGAAGGACUUGGACCCGUUUACACUCUUAAAGAUCAAUAAAGACCCCAAAGAACUUC